UUGAUCAAGCUACAAAGAGCGCAUCAUGGAUGCCUUGGUGCCAAUAGGCGAUGAAGGACGUGGCAAGCUGCGAUAAGUCACGGAGAGCGGCAAACACGCUUUGACCCGUGAAUUUCCGAAUGGGGUAACCUGAGCGGGGUAACACCUGCUCGAGUUCCUGUGAAUCCAUAGCAGGAACAUCGCGACACCCGGCGAAGUGAAACAUCUCAGUAACCGGAGGAAAAGAAAUCGAAAGAGAUUCCGUCAGUAGUGGCGAGCGAAAGCGGAACAGGCUAAACCCAGCUACUUCGAGCUAUUUCUACAGACCCAUGUAUUACGUUUAUAUUCUCAAACAUCCGACUGAAGACGACAUUUACAUUGGCUUCAGCACGGACCUGCGCACUCGAAUGAAGGCUCACAAGAGCGAACAUCGGGAAUGGCGGCUGGCGUAUUACGAGGCAUACGCUUCAGAGACCGACGCCAGAGCGAGAGAGCGGCGACUGAAAUAUCACGGCAACGUGAAGCAAUUGUUGAAGAAACGAAUCAUGAGGAGCCUGGAGAUGGUUUGAAGUAGCUGGGGGUUGUAGGAGCCCGACGUGGUAGUGCAAAGGUUAGGUGAAGCUUCUGGAAAGCUGCGCCAUAGAGGGUGAAAGGCCCGUAACCGAAAACCCAAGCACGCCUAGGGAUUUCCUGAGUAAUACGAUGCACGUGAAACUUCGUAUGAAUCUGCGCCGACCACGGCGUAAGCCUAAAUACUCAUUGGCGACCGAUAGUGAACAAGUACCGCGAGGGAAAGGUGAAAAGAACCGCUGCGAGCGGAGUGAAAUAGUACCUGAAAUGAUGUGCUUACAAGGUGUCAGAGCUGGCGCAAGCUGGUGAUGGCGUGCCUUUUGCUUAAUGAGUCUGCGAGUUACUAUCAGUGGCGAGCCUAAGGCGUUCUGCGCUGGAGGCGAAGCGAAAGCGAGUCCGAAAUGGGCGAUUUUAGUCGCUGGUAGUAGACCCGAAGCGGAGGUGAUCUACCCAUGAGCAGGAUGAAGGUUGCUUAACCGCAACUGAAGGUCCGAACCCGUGACGGUUGAAAACGU
This 1064-nucleotide ribosomal RNA is filed under the name Verrucomicrobiota bacterium. RNAcentral's name for it is "bacterial LSU rRNA". It matches the Rfam family "Bacterial large subunit ribosomal RNA", at positions 1 to 798 of the family's 2925-position model. The record is from RNAcentral. Lineage: Bacteria; Pseudomonadati; Verrucomicrobiota.